AGUAUGUCCAAAUCACCGACCGUCCCUAAAGCAAGUGGCAAAGGACUUGGUGAUUGGUAUCCGAGACCCAAGUUCAAAUUCUAGUUGAUUCACAUUUCCAGCUAAAUUUAUUUCUAAAUAAAAUAAACGAAGCGGGUAGCGUGUUAUCUAUCUCUCUCCAAAAAAAAAAAAAAAAUUCCCUAUUUCGAGAAAAUCUACUGUAUCAUACUUACACAACAUCAUCAAUAACUAAUCAAUCAUAUCUUUUCUUUUGAGAGAAAAGCACAAUAAAAAUAUUUUUCUAGUAACCACAAUGAAAUCUGUGAAUCCAAAAAAAAAAUCUCAUU
Molecule: long non-coding RNA, 326 nt
Filed under: Ananas comosus (pineapple)
Lineage: Eukaryota; Viridiplantae; Streptophyta; Magnoliopsida; Poales; Bromeliaceae
Description: long non-coding RNA (ACOM_LNC008531)
Source: RNAcentral